This is a non-coding RNA of Vicugna pacos (alpaca), 4003 nucleotides long. NCBI's taxonomy places the organism in Eukaryota, Metazoa, Chordata, Mammalia, Artiodactyla, Camelidae. The record is from RefSeq and is a predicted model, not a curated record.
GGAGUGGGGUACUGUUCUCUCUUCUUCACCGCUGCCCCUCUAGCACCUAGAAUUGUGCCAGGUACCCAGUGGGUGCUUAAUAAGUGCUUGCAGCAUGAACUGGGACCCUGCUCCCCCCUCUGCUCUUCCUAGUGGUGUGUUUCAGCUCUCUGCUGGGCUUCGAGUGCUGGCUGGUGAGUGACAGCCCCUCCCGCACACGCUGUCACGAGUGCACGCAGAGGGCUUAGAGCCGGCUCUCCCUGCGGGGACUGCGGUCUGCGUGUGUCCUCUCUCCGGUGCCUCAAGGUCCUCUGUGGGUGCCAAUGUCUGGUUUUCUGCCUCUGGGUCCGGUCUUGCUUGUGUCUGGACUCACAGCUCUGGGGUCAGUAGUCUGGGUCCCGACACCAGCCCCAGCCCUUUCUAGCUUUACGGCCUUGGGCACAUUAUGUCUCUGGGCCAGUGUCCCUCUCUGUGAAAUAGGGACAGAGUUCUUACCUCAUGGCGUACUUACAAGGUCAAAUAAGGCAGCUGUGACCAUAGCCCCAGGAUGGCCAUGGAGGGAACCGGCCGGAGGCUGGAGGUCAGAAGUGAGAGCCAGCAGAGCUCCAGGUCUGCCAAAGCAAGGAAGGUCAGCGGUGGGCAGACUGCAAAGCAGAAGAGGCCAAGCCCCAGUUACCAGGAGGCCGGGCUCUGGAUGUGGUGACACCGUGGCGGAGAGGCUGGUCAUGUGCCCGAGACACAGGACCCGGAGACUUCCUGACGGCCUCCUGUUGGUCCUUAUACUGGCUGGAGGCCUCUCUGCUGGGAAGGCUCCGACUCUCCCUGUGAAGCCGCAUUUGCUAAGCCCUCGUGGGUGAUUUUUGGGGCGUCAGUAUACAGUUGCAGUCAUGUGAGCUGUAUGUCAGUGUGACUUAUGCAAGAGCGCGAGAGCUGGGAGAGUGACUUGCGUGAAAUUGUGUAAUUUUGCAGUUUUCUUCCCGAUUACGUGUCUGUGACUGAAUGCCAGUUUGCGGUGGGGGGUACUUUAUUUUGUGGGUUUGUGUGUGACUGAGUGGGAGUGUGUGUGACAAGCAGCGAUGAGUGAUCUGGCGUGUUUCUGUGCGAUGGAGUGUAAGGUGGGAGAGGGUUACCUGGUGGGUGACUUGGGGUGGCUGUUGUGACUGUCAUGUAAGGCUGGGCGUCUGUGUGGGAGGAGCUCACUAGUACUGCCUGAGGAAGGGCGUGGGAUGUGUGUGGCGGCAGGGGUGGGGUCCGAUUAUGACAAAUGUGUCUAAACCAAGUGGUCACACUUUGGUGAGUCUGUGGCUAAGGUGUCACUGUCCCCCUGGUGAGGCACCCUGUGAAGGACGGCGCGUGGGGCCUGUUCUUUCUCUGAGGCCACACUGGGUUACUGAAGGCUCGUUUUGUGCCAAGGUGCGGCUGGGGUGGGUGAGGAAGGGGUGCCCCCCUGCCCACGUGACACAGCUGACUGCCCUCGCGUCCGUGCUCUGCACCCCGGUUUCCGCCACACCCUGUGGUCAGGCGCACUACCAGCACUCUCCGUAUUACACACAGUGCGCUCUCAUACUCUUUCAAAUCCAUUCUAUUUCAGGUUUAAAACUUCUUGUCACAACUCACUGAAGCAGAGGUCUCACCUGGGGGUGACACGAGGCAGUAUCUGAAGCCAUUCCUGGCUGUCACGGUCAGGAGGGUGCUGCUGACACCUGGCGGAGAGGGGCCAGGGAUCCUGCUCAACGGCCCACCACGUCCAGGCUGGGAUGCCGGAUCUGACAACAGGACAUCUUCCAAGCACAACGUCUCUGAAAGCUAGGCCCCAAAAGGCUCUUGAGACAUGGAAUUCAUAAAGGCCGGCAGAAUGGACAGCCUCCCCGAGAGAGCAAUCCCAGCGCGAGCUGUGCGCAGCGGCAGAGGGGAGGCUUGGGCCAUCCCAAGUGUGGGAGAGCCUUCAGCUCCGGCUCCUUCCUCGCUCAGCACCGGCGAAUCCACUCGGGAGGGACCCUGUGAAUGCAGUGAGUGUGCGAGGACCGUCAGCCAGAGGGCGAACCUUACUCAGCACCAGAGAGAAACCAGAGUGUGAGGACUGUGCCAGAGCUUUUGGGCAGGGCCCCUCCCUCCGGGAGCAAGGCCACGUCCCCACAGUGAAUGGGAACCUUCAGCAAAUGCUCAGCCCGCCUCUCCCAUCAGAACAUCCACACUGGCGAGCAGCCCCGUCAGUGUAACGAGUGUGGGAAGGCCGCCCGCAGCCGGUCUUCAGUCAGCACCAGAGCACGCGCGCUGGGGAGACCCUGUGAAGGCAGUGAGUGCGCGAGGGCCUUCCGCUGGGCCUCCCCCCUUCCUCUCCACCAGAGAACUCAUACAGGCGAGAACACCUACAAGUGCCCAACUAUAGAAAGCCCUUCCCGUACGGGUCCUCCCUCACCGAGCACCAGAAAACCCACCCAGGAGAGAAACGCUACAAGUGCGGAGACGGCGAAACGUCUUCAGCUACAGCUCCUCUCGGCCUCGGGAGGAUCCCUGUACACGUAAGGCGUGGGGGGCCACCUUCAGGCACUGCUCUUUCCUGCCCAGGCACCAGAGGACCCACUGCAUCAAGACAGCUGACUGUAAGACUGUCUGAAAGCCUUGAGUCGUGGUUCAUCUAAAAUGUACAUCAGAGGUGCCACACCAGGGGGAAGUGCUACAGAUACAGUGAUUUGGUGGCAACUUCCAAUGCUUCUUACUGAAAUGUGUGCAUGGAACCUUCAGAUUUCAUUCAGCCCUCCAGAUGCCUAAGACAUCACACUGUACAUUACUCAUGGGGAUAUGGGUUGGGGGUCCGCAAACCACCCCCAGGUUCAGUGACCCACUGGAAGGACUCUGAGUACGCAGCAUAGUCACACCCAUGGCUAAGACUUACCACGGUGAAAGGAUUCACUACACAACCAGCAAUGGGAGAAGGUGCACGAUGGAGUCUGGAGGAGACGAGGUGUGAGCUUCCAGAGUUCUCUCCACAGGAAGUUGCUCCGGACACGCUUAAUUCCUCCAGCGAGAUGUGGCAGCACUUCCCUGCCUCCUCCUUCAACCUGUGGAGCUCUUUCCUGACCUCAGGGCCUUUGCUUGUGCUGCACCCGCUGUCCAGAACAGCUCCUCCCCGUGUUCCAGGGCUGACUUCUCACCCUGUGGUCUUGACUCGAAGGCCACCUCCUCAGAGAGCCCUGUUUGGACUCCCCAGUCUAAGCUCAGCCCUCCCAGGAUCACUGCCUGUGCCGCGCACCUGGUUUUCUUUCCCUCUGUAGUAUGUACCACCUUGUUUUGUCUUUUUAUUACACACUGAAGUUUGAGAAGUACUAGUGUCAGGAAAGAGUCGAUUCAGAUGGAGGCCUUCAGGUCAAGCAUACCUCUCCAGCUCAGCCUCAGGCCCCACUCACCUUUGGACAAAGGGCCUGGUCCCUGCAGGCACUCCGGUUUUCAACCCUUGCCUUAAGCUAGUGUUUCUGAAACUUUAGCUUUCAACACAGCCCCCGGAGGGCUUGUUAAAACCCCCAGUGAUCAGGAGGUCUGAGAGCGCCUUUCUAGCACUUUCCCUUGUGUAUGAGUUUCUUAUGACUGCUCUGACAAAUUACCACAAACUGGGAGCCUUAAAACAACAGAAAUGUCUCUCACUGUUUGAGGCCAGAAAUCUGAAAUCAAGGCGUCAGCGGGGGUGCACUCCAGCUGCAGGCUUUAGGGGAGGAGGGCUCCUUCUUGGCCUCUCCAGCUCCUGGCGGCUGCUGGCGUUGCUUGCCUGGUGGACGAGUCAUCAGUCUUCAAAUCCUGUGUGUCAGACUGCCCUCUGCCUCCCUCUUGGAAGGACACAUCUUUUGGCAUUUAGGGCCCAUCCAGACAGUCCAGGAUAACCUCUCUACCUUGAGAUCCUUAGUCACGUCUGAGAAGACCCUUUUCCAAAUAAGGUAACAUCUAGUUUCCAGCAGUAGGACCUGAACCCUUAGGGGGCCACCCUUGGCCUACUAUACCAUCUAAUGGGGAGCUGCUCUGGUCCCAGUGA